Daucus carota subsp. sativus is the source of this 1629-nucleotide long non-coding RNA. RefSeq lists it as uncharacterized. The transcript has 3 exons. Lineage: Eukaryota; Viridiplantae; Streptophyta; Magnoliopsida; Apiales; Apiaceae. The record is from RefSeq and is a predicted model, not a curated record.
AUGAGAUAUUUUAUAUUAUUACAAUAAUGUUUGAGAUAUGCGUUGAUUAAAUUUAUUGACUAUGUGAGACAUGUUUUAUUAAUAUUAGGGUAAUAUUGUGUGUUGUUAUUUAGACCUUUGUCCCACAUUGAUUAGAAAUAAGAGGGGAACCCCUUCUUGCACUAUAUAAUGUAUGGAGGGUAUUGGGGCUAGAUUGUGUAAUUGGGACUUGGCUCACUUCCCACAUUGGGGAGAAUGUGAGCAAAGAUGGAUCAUUAAUCUAUAAAUGAAAGCACAAGCUUUUGUUAUGUACUCCCAAGUGCUAGUUUAAAUUUAAUGUAUUGGUAUUUUGUCCCACAUCGAGACAAAUUGAUAGAGGUGCUAGCCACAUAUCUAUAUAAGUAUAUGGAGGUGUUGAAUUCUUUAACAUAAUGGACUUGAUAAGUAAGUUUCCAAGUUUGAGACUUUUCUUCUCUACUUCCCACAUCGAGAAGAAGAAGGAAUGGGCGACUCUCAACCCAUUAUAAAAUAAGUUGAAGUUUAUAUGGACUUAAAGCCUUUGCUCUAUUAGUCCAUGUUCUUUAAUCAAACUGAAUUUUUACUAAGCUUGGUUAAAAGAGAAUAGCUCUAAUUAGUCCUCUCUUACCUAGCAUAAUAAACAACUUAAGUGUUGUGUAUAGUGGGUUGAAAGUUUUUGAGUUAGUAUCCCACAUCGAGACCAAAUAAGAUGAAUGGAACUGUAACUCCUAUAUAUAUGCUAAGAAAAUGUUUAAAGGAACUAAGUUUUCCUCCCACAUCGGAAAGGUGUAGGAGAUCUAGGCUCAAGGAGCCUACUUAAACUUGAAAGGUUCCCAAGUGUUGUACACAAGAGCAAUGGCUUUUAGGCUUGGGUUUCAACGCCCAUGAUUAUUAAUAAUGCUUUAUAAUAAUAAAUCUAUUUCCUGAGAUCCAACAGGUGAUAAAAAGAAUAUGAACUUGAGUGAUUAAAGAGUAUGAACUUGUGUCUAUAAAUUGAACUAUGGGAAGGCUAGCAAGUGAAUUAGAAAGCACACUUUUGCAAUGUAGUUUUCAAGUUGUAUUAUAGCCCCACAUCGAUUUGUUUAUAAAUAAUAGGCUGCUAUAUAUCUAAUACUUCUAACCUUAUAAUGGAUAGUCGGUUGCGCAAAUGAGUUGGCGGGGGCAUUGUCAAACUAAGGCAACAACACUUUGUUAGGGUAUUUGCCAUGAGUGCACUUGUUGCUUGUGGUUUAUUUCACUUAAAUCAAAUGUCCCACAUCGAAUAAAUAGAGGAAUAGGGGUUUACUCUCAUCUAUAUAAAGUGAGGGAAGUCCUCCUUUAAUGUAGGAGUAGGAGUAAAAGCUAAGUUCAGCUUUGAGGUGACUGUGACCUUGAUUGAAAGCAUCUUAUCGUUUAAGUUGGACCCGAGGCAAGGGUAAAGAUAAAAAUAAGUAGAAGGGGGACCGAGCUGAAGCAGAAUCUUGCCUGGAUGAUGUACAUAUGGCUACUUUGACCUGGGGAUGGCCUAGUUAUAUGUUUUGUUAUAUGUCACCUAGUAAUGACACGAGUAUGGUUUGUAUUAAAGAAUGAAAGUAGACUUUAUAUGUGUGUAAUAUGGUUUUGUUGGGAAAAAAAAAAUGCUAUUGCUUUUAU